RNAcentral lists this ribosomal RNA (731 nucleotides) under fungal endophyte. Its description in RNAcentral is "eukaryotic LSU rRNA". The stretch from base 502 to 731 matches the Rfam family "Eukaryotic large subunit ribosomal RNA", at positions 1 to 229 of the family's 3401-position model. The record is from RNAcentral. Lineage: Eukaryota; Fungi.
UUACCGAGUGAGGGCCCUCUGGGUCCAACCUCCCACCCGUGUUUAUUUUACCUUGUUGCUUCGGCGGGCCCGCCUUAACUGGCCGCCGGGGGGCUUACGCCCCCGGGCCCGCGCCCGCCGAAGACACCCUCGAACUCUGUCUGAAGAUUGUAGUCUGAGUGAAAAUAUAAAUUAUUUAAAACUUUCAACAACGGAUCUCUUGGUUCCGGCAUCGAUGAAGAACGCAGCGAAAUGCGAUACGUAAUGUGAAUUGCAAAUUCAGUGAAUCAUCGAGUCUUUGAACGCACAUUGCGCCCCCUGGUAUUCCGGGGGGCAUGCCUGUCCGAGCGUCAUUUCUGCCCUCAAGCACGGCUUGUGUGUUGGGCCCCGUCCUCCGAUCCCGGGGGACGGGCCCGAAAGGCAGCGGCGGCACCGCGUCCGGUCCUCGAGCGUAUGGGGCUUUGUCACCCGCUCUGUAGGCCCGGCCGGCGCUUGCCGAUCAACCCAAAUUUUUAUCCAGGUUGACCUCGGAUCAGGUAGGGAUACCCGCUGAACUUAAGCAUAUCAAUAAAGCGGAGGAAAAGAAACCAACAGGGAUUGCCCCAGUAACGGCGAGUGAAGCGGCAAGAGCUCAAAUUUGAAAGCUGGCUCCUUCGGGGUCCGCAUUGUAAUUUGUAGAGGAUGCUUCGGGAGCGGUCCCCAUCUAAGUGCCCUGGAACGGGACGUCAUAGAGGGUGAGAAUCCCGUAUGGG